AUUGAACGCUGGCGGCAGGCCUAACACAUGCAAGUCGAGCGGAACGGCGGACGGGUGAGUAAUGCCUAGGAAUCUGCCUGGUAGGGGGGGAUAACGUCCGGCAACGGGCGAUAAUACCGCUAACUCUCAGAAGAGCCUAGGUCGGUUUAGCUAGGGGGUGGGGUAAAGGCCUACCAAGGCGACGAUCCGUAACUGGUCGGAGAGGAUGAGCAGUUACACUGGAACUGAGACACGGUCCAGACGCGUACGUGAGGCAGCAGUGGGGAAUAUUGGACAAUGGGCGAAAGCCUGAUCCAGCCAUGCCGCGUGUGUGAAGAAGGCCUUCGGGUUGUAAAGCACUUUAAGUUGGGAGGCGUGACUAACAGAAUAAGCACCGGCUAACUUCGUGCCAGCAGCCGCUGUAAUAC
RNAcentral lists this ribosomal RNA (407 nucleotides) under uncultured bacterium. Its description in RNAcentral is "partial 16S ribosomal RNA". It matches the Rfam family "Bacterial small subunit ribosomal RNA", at positions 30 to 526 of the family's 1533-position model. The record is from RNAcentral.